This 308-nucleotide ribosomal RNA is filed under the name uncultured Hemiophrys. Its description in RNAcentral is "SSU rRNA". It matches the Rfam family "Eukaryotic small subunit ribosomal RNA", at positions 585 to 972 of the family's 1831-position model. The record is from RNAcentral. Lineage: Eukaryota; Ciliophora; Litostomatea; Pleurostomatida; Amphileptidae.
CCAGCUCCAAUAGCGUAUAUUAAAGUUGUUGCAGUUAAAAAGCUCGUAGUUGGAUUUCAAGAAACGCAAUGAGCAAUCAUCUGCUUUCUACCAGUCUUUGACUGUUACUGUGAGAAAAUUAGAGUGUUUCAAGCAGGCUUUUGCAGGAAUACAUUAGCAUGGAAUAACGAAUGUGUCUACAAUUUGGUUGAUUGUAGAUUUCAAUUAAUAGGGACAGUUGGGGGCAUUAGUAUUUAAUUGUCAGAGGUGGAAUUCUUGGAUUUGUUAAAGACUAACGUAUGCGAAAGCAUUUGCCAAGGAUGUUUUCA